RNAcentral lists this ribosomal RNA (347 nucleotides) under uncultured bacterium. Its description in RNAcentral is "bacterial SSU rRNA". It matches the Rfam family "Bacterial small subunit ribosomal RNA", at positions 355 to 717 of the family's 1533-position model. The record is from RNAcentral.
UAGGGAAUCUUCGGCAAUGGGGGCAACCCUGACCCAGCAACGCCGCGUGGAGGAAGAAGGUUUUCGGAUCGUAAACUCCUGUCCUCAGGGAAGAGAAGGAGACGGUACCUGAGGAGGAAGCCCCGGCUAACUACGUGCCAGCAGCCGCGGUAAUACGUAGGGGGCAAGCGUUGUCCGGAAUGAUUGGGCGUAAAGGGCGCGUAGGCGGCCCGGUAAGUCUGGAGUGAAAGUCCUGGCUUCAAGUUGGGAAUUGCUUUGGAUACUGUCGGGCUUGAGUGCAGGAGAGGUUAGUGGAAUUCCCAGUGUAGCGGUGAAAUGCGUAGAGAUUGGGAGGAACACCAGUGGCG